GACGAACGCUGGCGGCGUGCCUAAUACAUGCAAGUCGAACGCUUCUUUCCUCCCGAGUGCUUGCACUCAAUUGGAAAGAGGAGUGGCGGACGGGUGAGUAACACGUGGGUAACCUACCCAUCAGAGGGGGAUAACACUUGGAAACAGGUGCUAAUACCGCAUAACAGUUUAUGCCGCAUGGCAUAAGAGUGAAAGGCGCUUUCGGGUGUCGCUGAUGGAUGGACCCGCGGUGCAUUAGCUAGUUGGUGAGGUAACGGCUCACCAAGGCCACGAUGCAUAGCCGACCUGGGAGGGUGAUCGGCCACACUGGGACUGAGACACGGCCCAGACUCCUACGGGAGGCAGCAGUAGGGAAUCUUCGGCAAUGGACGAAAGUCUGACCGAGCAACGCCGCGUGAGUGAAGAAGGUUUUCGGAUCGUAAAACUCUGUUGUUAGAGAAGAACAAGGACGUUAGUAACUGAACGUCCCCUGACGAUAUCUAACCAGAAAGCCACGGCUAACUUCGUGCCAGCAGCCGCCGUAA
RNAcentral lists this ribosomal RNA (524 nucleotides) under uncultured bacterium. Its description in RNAcentral is "partial 16S ribosomal RNA". It matches the Rfam family "Bacterial small subunit ribosomal RNA", at positions 28 to 523 of the family's 1533-position model. The record is from RNAcentral.